Molecule: long non-coding RNA, 1706 nt
Filed under: Cinara cedri
Lineage: Eukaryota; Metazoa; Arthropoda; Insecta; Hemiptera; Aphididae
Source: RNAcentral
UACCAAGUGUAUUAAUGAUAAUAUAUUACGAGUUAUGUGGUUAAAAUAUUUUAAAUUCCAGACUAUAUAAUGAAGAUGCUCAUUUAUAUCAACAAUAUGGAACUAUUGAUAAUAAACCAAAUUAUGAUAAAAAUGUGUUGACCAAGCGUGCUGCUCGUUUUUCAUCCCAAGGAAAUCCAAAAAAAAAGCCUCGUCAAGUGUUAAAGUUUGAUAAUCAUACACCAAAAUCAAUUACUAAUAAUGAUAUUGAAUUUUAUAUAGAUUCUUGUCAUGUUGUUGGAACAUGCACGGAUUUGGAAAAAAAAUAUUUAAGAUUAACAGCGGUUAGUUGUGUUUGCUAUACUUAUUAUGUUAAUUAUAUUAAUUAAAAUUCCUUGCAUACAAAUUAUAAUUAAACAGGCUCCAGAUGCUGAUGCUGUAAGACCUUUAAGAAUUUUAGUAAAAUCAUUGCAGCAUGUCAAGUCUAAAUGGAUAAAUGAUAGCAACUAUCUUUUUACGUGUGACCAGUUAAAGUCAAUUAGACAAGAUUUAACAGUAAGAUCUGGUAUUUUAGUUUAAUUAUUGUAAAUAUUUUUUAUCAAUUAUCUUCCUUAAAGGUUCAAGGUAUUAGAGAUUCAUUCACAGUUGAAGUUUAUGAAACUCACGCAAGGAUUGCUUUAGAAAAAAGUGACAUGGGUGAAUUUAAUCAAUGUCAAACUCAAUUAUCCGAUUUAUAUGAGGAAUUAAAAGAUAAUCCCAUUGCUCAAAAGCAUCGUAAUGAAUUUCUCUGUUAUAAUAUAUUGUAUUGUAUAUAUACAAGAACUUUAUGUGGUAAUUAUAAUGUUUAUCAUUAAAUUAUUAUUCAUCAUGCACUUAUGAAUUUCUAUAAUUUUGUAUAGAGUUAAACAAUAUCAUAUUGUAUAUCAAGGAGUUUAAUAUCAAAGAUGAGUGUAUAGAUUUUGCAUUGAACGUCAAAGACGCAUGGUGGUUAAGCAAUCAUGUUGAACUAUUUUUUUUGUACAAAAUUGCUCCUAAAAUGGCUGCAUACUUAAUGGAUAUGUUUUUGGCUAGAGAACGCAAUAACUUCUUUUUGGCUAUUGCCAAAUCGUAUGUAUUAAAACAAUUCUUAAUAUACUUAAAUUAAUAUUUUGCAGGGCGUUACAUAAUUUGUACAGGUAUUAAAUGUGCUAUACACUACAUAAUUUUUUUUCAAAUUAAAUUUUUAUGGGUUAAGAUUGGGAUCGUUUGUGUUUGUUUAUGUUACUUAAACUAUUAUAGAUAUAUUCAAUUUAAAAAAAAAUAAUAAUAAGUAAUUACCAAUAAAAUUAAUAAUUCAAAUUAGAUUUGGGUAAUUUAUAUCAUUACAAAUUAAAUAAAUAUUAUUUUUUUAAUGUAUUCUUAUCAUAAUAUUACAUUUUUUAUUAAGUUUUAGUUUUACUGCUUUAUACUAUUUGUUUAAUAUUUCUUGCUAGUUAAUAAUUGCAGAUUUUUAAAGAUAAUUUUAUUAUGAUAUAACAGUUACCGCCCAACUAUUCCAAUCUCGACCAUUCAAGAUCAAAUGGCAUUCGAUAAGCGAGAGGAUUGUUUGGCUUUUCUUAAGGCUGCAGGCGCGGUAUUAACUUCCAAUAAUGAGAACAUCGACUGCAAAGCAAGCUGCGGUUCGACCGAAGCUUGACUUUCAGAAUGGUGUCGUUCCUAUGCCUACAUAACCACAUAUAAUAUAUAUA